AUGAACGCUGGCGGCGUGCCUAAUACAUGCAAGUCGAGCGAACAGAUCAGGAGCUUGCUCCUUUGACGUUAGCGGCGGACGGGUGAGUAACACGUGGGUAACCUACCUAUAAGACUGGGAUAACUUCGGGAAACCGGAGCUAAUACCGGAUAACAUUUGGAACCGCAUGGUUCUAAAGUGAAAGAUGGUUUUGCUAUCACUUAUAGAUGGACCCGCGCCGUAUUAGCUAGUUGGUAAGGUAACGGCUUACCAAGGCGACGAUACGUAGCCGACCUGAGAGGGUGAUCGGCCACACUGGAACUGAGACACGGUCCAGACUCCUACGGGAGGCAGCAGUAGGGAAUCUUCCGCAAUGGGCGAAAGCCUGACGGAGCAACGCCGCGUGAGUGAUGAAGGGUUUCGGCUCGUAAAACUCUGUUAUUAGGGAAGAACAAACGUGUAAGUAACUGUGCACGUCUUGACGGUACCUAAUCAGAAAGCCACGGCUAACUACGUG
RNAcentral lists this ribosomal RNA (496 nucleotides) under uncultured bacterium. Its description in RNAcentral is "partial 16S ribosomal RNA". It matches the Rfam family "Bacterial small subunit ribosomal RNA", at positions 29 to 507 of the family's 1533-position model. The record is from RNAcentral.